GAGUUUGAUCGUGGCUCAGAUUGAACGCUGGCGGCAUGCCUUACACAUGCAAGUCGAACGGCAGCAUGAUCUAGCUUGCUAGAUUGAUGGCGAGUGGCGAACGGGUGAGUAAUACAUCGGAACGUGCCCUGUAGUGGGGGAUAACUAGUCGAAAGAUUAGCUAAUACCGCAUACGACCUGAGGGUGAAAAGUGGGGGACCGCAAGGCCUCAUGCUAUAGGAGCGGCCGAUGUCUGAUUAGCUAGUUGGUGGGUAAAGGCCCACCAAGGCGACGAUCAGUGCUGGUCUGAGAGGACGAUCAGCCACACUGGGACUGAGACACGGCCCAGACUCCUAGGAGGCAGCAGUGGGAAUUUUGGACAAUGGGCGAAAGCCUGAUCCAGCAAUGCGCGUGUGUGAAGAAGGCUCGGUGUAGA
RNAcentral lists this ribosomal RNA (415 nucleotides) under uncultured microorganism. Its description in RNAcentral is "bacterial SSU rRNA". It matches the Rfam family "Bacterial small subunit ribosomal RNA", at positions 9 to 429 of the family's 1533-position model. The record is from RNAcentral.